This 492-nucleotide ribosomal RNA is filed under the name uncultured bacterium. Its description in RNAcentral is "partial 16S ribosomal RNA". It matches the Rfam family "Bacterial small subunit ribosomal RNA", at positions 29 to 507 of the family's 1533-position model. The record is from RNAcentral.
AGUGAACGCUGGCGGUAGGCCUAACACAUGCAAGUCGAACGGCAGCACAGUAAGAGCUUGCUCUUACGGGUGGCGAGUGGCGGACGGGUGAGGAAUACAUCGGAAUCUACUUUUUCGUGGGGGAUAACGUAGGGAAACUUACGCUAAUACCGCAUACGACCUACGGGUGAAAGCAGGGGAUCUUCGGACCUUGCGCGAAUGAAUGAGCCGAUGUCGGAUUAGCUAGUUGGCGGGGUAAAGGCCCACCAAGGCGACGAUCCGUAGCUGGUCUGAGAGGAUGAUGAGCCAAACUGGAACUGAAACACGGUCCAGAGUCCUACGGGAGGCAGCAGUGGGGAAUAUUGGACAAUGGGCGCAAGCCUGAUCCAGCAAUACCGCGUGGGUGAAGAAGGCCUUCGGGUUGUAAAGCCCUUUUGUUGGGAAAGAAAAGCAGCAGGUUAAUACCCCGCUGUUCUGACGGUACCCAAAGAAUAAGCACCGGCUAACUUCGUG